RNAcentral lists this long non-coding RNA (382 nucleotides) under Spirodela polyrhiza (greater duckweed). RNAcentral describes it as "long non-coding RNA (SPOL_LNC001162)". Lineage: Eukaryota; Viridiplantae; Streptophyta; Magnoliopsida; Alismatales; Araceae. The record is from RNAcentral.
UCCGCUUCUGCUACUUGGAUUCCCUUCUGGACCUCGAGAUCCCGGAGGAGCAGGGGAGGAAACUCAACGACGAGGAGAUCAUCUCGCUCUGCUCCGAGUUCCUCGUCGCCGGCACCGACUCCACCUCCACGGCGCUGGAGUGGAUCAUGGCCAACGUCGUUAAGCACCCAAGCGUGCAGGAAAGACUGGCGGAGGAAAUCGGCGCAAACACCAAGGAGGAUGACCUGGAGAAGAAACCAUACCUGAAGGCCGUGGUCCUAGAGGCGAUCCGGCGACAUCCGCCGACUCACUUUGCGAUUCCCCACGCUGCCAAGGAGGAGAUAUCUCUGUGCGGGUAUACCAUCCCCAAGGGCGCGAACGUCAGCUUCGCGGCGGUGAGGAU